RNAcentral lists this ribosomal RNA (438 nucleotides) under uncultured bacterium. Its description in RNAcentral is "bacterial SSU rRNA". It matches the Rfam family "Bacterial small subunit ribosomal RNA", at positions 958 to 1397 of the family's 1533-position model. The record is from RNAcentral.
AACGCGAAGAACCUUACCUGGGUUUGACAUCCCGUGAAAAGUGCAGAGAUGUAUAAUAGUAGCGAUACACACGGAGACAGGUGCUGCAUGGCUGUCGUCAGCUCGUGUCGUGAGAUGUUGGGUUAAGUCCCGCAACGAGCGCAACCCUUACCCUUAUUUAGCAUCAUUAAGUUGGCAACUAUAGGGGGACUGCCGGUGAUAAACCGGAGGAAGGUGGGGAUGACGUCAAGUCCUCAUGGCCCUUACGUCCAGGGCUACACACGUACUACAAUGGCCAAAACAAAGCGAUGCAAAAUCGAGAGGUGGAGCAAAUCGCAAAAACAUGGUCUCAGUUCGGAUUGUGGUCUGCAACUCGACCACAUGAAGUUGGAAUCUCUAGUAAUCGCAGAUCAGCAGGCUGCGGUGAAUACGUUCCCGGGCCUUGUACACACCGACAUA